AUUCUGCCCAUGCGGGGAAGGAUGAGAAGCUUCGACCAAGGUUCGACUCGAGUGCCAGCGAGAGAGCGUUGCCGCAGGCAACGACCCGUAGGGCGAAGCGCGCAGCGCUGAGUAAUCCUUCCCCCACCACUA
This 132-nucleotide small RNA is filed under the name Escherichia coli. Its description in RNAcentral is "RtT sRNA". It matches the Rfam family "RtT RNA". Rfam says of the family: This family represents a bacterial cis-regulatory element known as RtT RNA. The exact function of RtT is unknown although it is thought that it may be involved in changing the cellular response in relation to amino acid starvation. Lineage: Bacteria; Pseudomonadati; Pseudomonadota; Gammaproteobacteria; Enterobacterales; Enterobacteriaceae. The record is from RNAcentral.